RNAcentral lists this ribosomal RNA (252 nucleotides) under uncultured bacterium. RNAcentral's name for it is "partial 16S ribosomal RNA". It matches the Rfam family "Bacterial small subunit ribosomal RNA", at positions 524 to 775 of the family's 1533-position model. The record is from RNAcentral.
GACGAAGGGGGCUAGCGUUGUUCGGAAUUACUGGGCGUAAAGCGCGUGUAGGCGGUUGUCCAAGUCGGGUGUGAAAGCCUUGAGCUCAACUCAAGAAAUGCACUCGGUACUGGGUGACUAGAGGACCGGAGAGGAUAGUGGAAUUCCCAGUGUAGUGGUGAAAUACGUAGAGAUUGGGAAGAACACCAGUGGCGAAGGCGGCUAUCUGGACGGUUUCUGACGCUAAGACGCGAAAGCGUGGGGAGCAAACAG